RNAcentral lists this small RNA (65 nucleotides) under Clostridium kluyveri DSM 555. Its description in RNAcentral is "RAGATH-18 RNA". It matches the Rfam family "RAGATH-18 RNA". Rfam says of the family: Actinobacteria, Firmicutes, Fusobacteria, Thermotogae (1 example). Nearby to self-cleaving ribozyme genes The record is from Rfam by way of RNAcentral. Lineage: Bacteria; Bacillati; Bacillota; Clostridia; Eubacteriales; Clostridiaceae.
UCCUUGGAGUGUAAGACCAGACCGAAAUUAGCUAAUUGCGAAAUCGAUACACUAUGAAGAGGAAA